Molecule: unclassified non-coding RNA, 200 nt
Filed under: Inocybe sp.
Lineage: Eukaryota; Fungi; Basidiomycota; Agaricomycetes; Agaricales; Inocybaceae
Description: partial internal transcribed spacer 2
Source: RNAcentral
UUAAGUUCAGCGGGUAGUCCUACCUGAUUUGAGGUCAAAUUUGUCAAACACCAAAGGGUGUACAAGUUGGAAGCAGCGCAAUCUGUUCAUGCAGUAUACCAAGAGGCAUAGAUAAUUAUCACACCUAAUAGUAGCAGUUCUGCUUCAGAUACCACUAAUGCGUUUCAGAGGAGCCGACUUCAUUAUUGAAGCCUGCAAAA